This 498-nucleotide ribosomal RNA is filed under the name uncultured bacterium. RNAcentral describes it as "partial 16S ribosomal RNA". It matches the Rfam family "Bacterial small subunit ribosomal RNA", at positions 30 to 523 of the family's 1533-position model. The record is from RNAcentral.
AUUGAACGCUGGCGGCAUGCCCUACACAUGCAAGUCGAACGGUAACAGGUCUUCGGAUGCUGACGAGUGGCGAACGGGUGAGUAAUACGUCGGAACGUGCCUAGUAGUGGGGGAUAACUACUCGAAAGAGUGGCUAAUACCGCAUGAGAUCUACGGAUGAAAGCAGGGGAUCGCAAGACCUUGUGCUACUAGAGCGGCCGAUGGCAGAUUAGGUAGUUGGUGGGAUAAAAGCUUACCAAGCCGACGAUCUGUAGCUGGUCUGAGAGGACGAUCAGCCACACUGGGACUGAGACACGGCCCAGACUCCUACGGGAGGCAGCAGUGGGGAAUUUUGGACAAUGGGCGAAAGCCUGAUCCAGCAAUGCCGCGUGCAGGAUGAAGGCCUUCGGGUUGUAAACUGCUUUUGUACGGAACGAAAAGCCCCGGGUUAAUACCCUGGGGUCAUGACGGUACCGUAAGAAUAAGCACCGGCUAACUACGUGCCAGCAGCCGCCGUAA